RNAcentral lists this ribosomal RNA (253 nucleotides) under uncultured bacterium. RNAcentral's name for it is "partial 16S ribosomal RNA". It matches the Rfam family "Bacterial small subunit ribosomal RNA", at positions 524 to 776 of the family's 1533-position model. The record is from RNAcentral.
UACGUAGGGGGCUAGCGUUGUCCGGAAUCAUUGGGCGUAAAGAGCGCGUAGGCGGCCAGAUAAGUCCGGUGUGAAAGUCACAGGCUCAACCUGUGAAUGCCGCUGGAAACUGUCUGGCUAGAGUCCGGAAGAGGAGAAUGGAAUUCCUGGUGUAGCGGUGAAAUGCGCAGAUAUCAGGAAGAACACCCGUGGCGAAGGCGGUUCUCUGGGACGGUACUGACGCUGAGACGCGAAAGCGUGGGGAGCGAACAGG